Molecule: long non-coding RNA, 501 nt
Filed under: Homo sapiens (human)
Lineage: Eukaryota; Metazoa; Chordata; Mammalia; Primates; Hominidae
Description: HSALNT0303508
Source: RNAcentral
GUUUUCCUCUCCCACUCUGAUAACCUGUGUUUCGAUACGAAACGGGCCCUGCCUCAUUAUUUGUCAUCUCCCUGGAGGUGACGGAGGGCUGUUUCAACCUCAGGGGAAAAGUUGCUGUACAGAACACAGGCCAGAGUGUGCCCCAAAGAAAUCAGGCGGUGGAGUGAUUUAAAAGUGAUCAUUUUCUGUAGUCCUAGCUACUCGGGAGGCUGAGGCAGGAAAAUCGCUUGAACCCGGGAGAAGAAGGAUGCAGUGAGCAGAGAUCGUGCCAUUGCACUUCAGCCUGGCGACAGAGCAAGACUCCGUCUCAAAAAGAAAAAAAAAAAGUGAUCAUUUUCAUGAAUGCUGCCUCUAAGGUCCCUCCUGCUGACAAUGGCCAGGGCAGUGCGGAGGCUCCUCUUUGGAAAUUGUCUUCAGAGCUGAUGCAGACUCUUUUGAAAGCAGCCACAGACAUUGGGGAUGGAGUCUGGUGGUUAAGGAGGAGUUUGGGAGGAGCAUCUG